CGCACUCGCUUACUCUACUAUCUCUCUCUCUCUCUCUCUCUGUGUGUGUGUGUGUCUCCCACCGAGGCUUUGAUGCAGCGAUGACGCGUCCCCAUAAGGGCAGCUAGCGCCGAUGGCAACGGGAGGAUCAACUACAACGACGACAACGAGGAGGAGAGCAACCCAUCGUGGCAAAGCAGCAGAUGGAGCAAGUGGUGGUCACGCCAUCGUAGCUGACAACAAGUCAAGGUCAUUUAUGGAAAGAAUCACCGGGUCAUCACAUUGCAGCGUUUGAGGUUGUCGAAGAAAGCCCGAUCCAACCAUUAGAGGGGAGGAGGAAGUCAUAUAUAGCCAAUACAUUUUUUUUAAUGUUUAAAAUUUCUAAUGUUUAAGCCAAUGUUUUUUUUAUGUUUCUUUUUGUUAGAUUGUAAUGUUGUACUAGGAAUUUUAAUGUUGUUUCAUAUUUUUGUCUUCAGUUCAUUGUAAUGUCGUUUCAUGUCCGAUCGAUUAGGUCACCAACUCCGUUGUUGGCCAAAUGAGAUUCAGGAUCAGAUGGUCUUUAAGGGGUUCUUUAGGACGUGCGUGGUAAUUGUAAAGUGUGAAAUUCCUACAUUCAAAGGAGUAAUAAACUCUUGAGUCUUGAGCAAAUCGUAGGUUUGAAAGUAAGACACUACAGGUUGAUUAUUGGAGUUAUUGAAUGGUUCACACCUAUAAACCGUUUACUAGUUAUUGAACAGUUCACAUCUAUAAACCGCCCACUAAGCUAGCCAAGCAAUAAAAAGUCAACCAAAAUUUCAUUUCUUACAUAAUUUGUUUAGAUUUUGUUGGUUUUUAAAGUAAUUAAUGGUCAUGUAUAAAGGAAUUUAGUUCGCAUGUACAAACAUUUUUGUUAUCUUUCUCAAGCAUGUAGGGAUAAUUGAGAAAGAAUAGAUUAAUUUGGAUGAGUGCUAUGAGCUUGUGAACAACAUAAGAAAUAUAAGUACUGAACUAGCUAGGGCAAUGCUUCCCCAGUAAUAUGAUUUUAAUUAUCCAUCUUUAUGAGUGUUAAAAAAGUACCCAAGAAAUCAACGAUAUUAAAUUAAUACCCCAGAUCAUACAUCAUGUGACAAAUAUAUAUGUGUACUGAUAUACAUUAUUCAUAAAAAGAAUCAUAUAAAAUAUCGAGUUUAGGAUUACAUGAAGUAUACAAUAUUUAGCUAAUAUAAUAAUCAACAAACUCUUUUUACUACCAAUCACUAGUUUUGAACCUUAUCAAGCAUCAAUAAUUUAGUUAUGGUUGUUCUCCCAGAACUGAGCUUGGAGCCAAUCCACAGCUUUCUUGUCCACCUGAAAUGCCUUAGCAAGAACGUCAUCCGAGAUUGGUGAAUUUGAUCCAAAUACUGCAUUAGCAAUGGUAAUCGCUCCAGGGUUCUGGCUGCUAAGUGCAGCGAUGGCAACUGCUGGCUUAUCAUAGCUUGGAUUGAACUGGAAGUGAAUGAGACCUUGUGGGAACACGAAGACAUCACCCUUGUUAAGUGUCUUGGUGAAGAGCUUGUUUUCUCCGUUUGCUUGGUUCGAUGUAACAAAACCAACAUAGAGUGUACCCUCAAGAACAGUUAGGAUCUCGGUAGCACGGGGAUGCGUGUGUGGUGGGUUUUGCCCUUUAGGAGCAUAGUCGAUCCUUGCCAUGGAGAUGCCAAGGGUGUUGAGACCUGCGAGUUUCAUCACAUUGAUCAAUGUAACAUUGGAUCCAGCCUUGCUCUUGGUUGUGUCCAUCGGCUUGUCGAGGUUAGCUGCUAGGAAGAAGUCAUCAACAUUCACAUCUUUAGCAUCCUUGCAAGGGAACCCAUUGACAUGUACUACAUUGAAGAACAUACAAAGGUCAGAUCGAAAGCUAGAAACAUAUAUAUGUACAACAUGAAUAUCUCAUAUCAUUGUUAAUCUGAUGUAACUGCAUGAUCAGUGAAGAAGUACACUACCUGGAGAGUUCCUGUCGGCAACGCAGAAGUCCUGAAGAGGACUGGGAUCAGAAGCCAUGGCCUGAGUAGCGACCAAAGCGAUGAGAGCUGUGAGAAGAAAGAAGUUCGAGGAGGCCAUGUUAAGUUGAUGGAACUUUUGCUUGUGUACAAGUAGUGGUCGAUGCUUCUUGUAUAGCUGUAGUCUAUGCUUUUGUCCAUGGAAGCAUCCAUAUAUAUAGGCCUCUGAGCAUGAAAUGAUUCUGAAGUGGUCAAUAAGAAAAGGAUGAGCUAGCUAGUGACUUGUUCAUCUCCUCAGAAGUCUGAACUGGUCUUGAACUCUUAAUGAUUGCAUCUGGGAAAGAAACUAUUUAAUUUGAUGGAUUCAAGCUAUCUUAAUUCCCAGUCAACAGCUAGGUUGGCCGACUAAUUAAUUAAUUAGAUUAUUCCAGUGCCUGUCAUGCAUGAUGCAUGCAUUAGAUUGAUGAUGUCUUGGCUGUCUUUGUUAUCAGGUGAAUAGAAACACAGAGCACUUUACUACCAUUUUCAACCUUACCAAGUUUUAGCAUUGCUAAAUUUUGGUAUGUUUGCUAAAAUUUUAACAAGGUUGCUAAAUUUUGGCAAGAUUUUAUAUGUGCUUACUAAAAAUUUAGCAACAAACUAAACGUAGUUAAAAUUUUAGCAACUUUAUCAGAAAAUGGCAUCAAAGUGAACAGGCUCAUAUUAUGAUAAAGAUAGGGAGAUGGAUUUUUAUCUCUCAAGAAGAUUUAAAAAAAUGAUAAGAUAAUUAAAUUAAAUUAAAAUAUAUCUCUUUACAAAUAUACAAUACAAGUUUAAUAUGACAUUCAAGUUGUAACAAAAAUAACCGUGAAUGUACGUUAACGAGUAGAUUGACCAUGUCUUCUCUAUCCAUGUAAAGUAUACUUGGUCCCUUUCGUCUCCGCAUAUUCAGGCAUCCAUGUGUGUUAUGGCAAUAUAACGUCUGAAUGUCUGAUUAAUUAGUCAAGAGCUAGCACCCAUGCUAAUUAAAAGGGAAGUUGAUAAUGUCAGUAUUGCAGUUAAUUGCUGAAUAUAUCAACACGCUCUCUGUUGCCUGCAGCUGCCGAGACAGUUUCAAGCUAAUAACUAUUGGUAGUUUGGUUAAUUCAGUUCAAAGCUCACCAGAUCAAUUACAUCAUCAAUUACAUCGGCCGGCGGCUCUUCAUUCCCCUGGCCAGCUGCAUAUGGAUAGCUAGGAGAGGAGUUAAAACAAAUACUAGCUUCCAAUAUAUAGAAAUAUUUAUCUUUUUAGCGCUUGUUAUAUUAUCCUUCCUCUAUCUUCAGGAGUGUGUUUUGCAUAAAAAAGGGAUUAUCUAAAAAAAGGUACCACAAUUUUUUAAAGUGAAAAACUCUCAAAUAUAACUGCAGUAUAGUUGUACUAUAAUUCUACAAUAAUUAUACUAUAACUACAAUGUAACUUGUAAAGAUUAAAAAAAUAUGCAACUUUACAGCUAAGUUAUAUAGAGAUUAGAAUGUAGGUAUAUUGUAAUUACAAUGUAGUUACAAUGUAAGUAUAGUGUAAUUAUAUUAUAGUUACUACAACUAUACCAUAGUUAUAUUUGAAAGCAUUUACCAAAAUGAAAUUGUGAUUAGUUUUUUUAGCAAUUUCCCAAAAAAGUAUAAAAAAGUAUAGUUCUAGUGAAAACGCUCCAAGCUGGGCACUGGAUCUAGGAGAAAAAAACCGGCUUCCUGCCAAUCAUUCCCAUCCACUCAUUCAAUCAUUUCUCUCUCCCUUGUCUCACUCACAUCUCUCCCCCUUAUCGCGCACUUGAUUACUCUACUCUCUCUCUCUCUGUGUGUCUGUCUCUAUCUCCCACCAAGGCUUUGAUGUGGCGAUGAUGACAUGUCACCAUAAGGGUAGCCGAUGCCGAUGGCAACGGGAGGACAACUACAACGACGACAGCGAGGAGGAGGGAAACCUAUCGUAGAGAAGCAGCGGACGGAGCAAGUGGUGGUCAUGCCAUCGCAGUUGACAACAAGGAAGUCAAGGUCAUUUAUAGAAAGAAUCACCGGGUCAUCACAUUGCAGCGUUUGAGGUUGUCGAAGAAAGCCCGAUCCAACCAUUGGAGGGGAGGAGGAAGUCAGAUAUAGC
This 4044-nucleotide long non-coding RNA is filed under the name Oryza sativa (Asian cultivated rice). RNAcentral describes it as "long non-coding RNA (OSAT_LNC000092)". The record is from RNAcentral. Lineage: Eukaryota; Viridiplantae; Streptophyta; Magnoliopsida; Poales; Poaceae.